UACGGGGGGGGCAAGCGUUGUUCGGAAUUACUGGGCGUAAAGCGCGUGUAGGCUGCUCCGCAAGUCGGGUGUGAAAGCCCUGGGCUCAACCCAGGAAGUGCACUCGAAACUGCAGAGCUUGAGUCCUGGAGAGGAAGGCGGAAUUCUCGGUGUAGAGGUGAAAUUCGUAGAUAUCGAGAGGAACACCUGUGGCGAAGGCGGCCUUCUGGACAGUGACUGACGCUGAGACGCGAAAGCGUGGGGAGCAAACAGG
RNAcentral lists this ribosomal RNA (253 nucleotides) under uncultured bacterium. Its description in RNAcentral is "partial 16S ribosomal RNA". It matches the Rfam family "Bacterial small subunit ribosomal RNA", at positions 524 to 776 of the family's 1533-position model. The record is from RNAcentral.